AUUGAACGCUGGCGGCAGGCCUAACACAUGCAAGUCGAACGGCAGAAGAGAAAUAGCUUCUGGUUACAGGGGCGGAGGGGCGAACAGUGCCUGGGAAUAUCCGAAGCUGCGGGUGCUUGGGGCGGAACAUGGGCGAACAUACCGUAUUAGCGCAGAGGGACUACGGGGGAAAGCAUCGGAUCUUCGGAUCUCGCGCGAUUGUAGGAGGCGAUGUCGGAUUAGCUAGUUGGAGGGGUAAAGGCCCACCAAGGCGACGAUCCGUAGCUGGUCUGAGAGGAUGAUCAGCCACACUGGAACUGAGACACGGUCCAGACUCCUACGGGAGGCAGCAGUGGGGAAUAUUGGACAAUGGGCGCAAGCCUGAUCCAGCCAUGCCGCGUGGGUGAAGAAGGCCUUCGGGUUGUAAAGCCCUUUUGGUUGGAAAGAAAGGCAGUAAGUUAAUACCUUGCUGUUCUGACGGUACCAACAGAAUAAGCACCGGCUAACUUCGUG
This 492-nucleotide ribosomal RNA is filed under the name uncultured bacterium. Its description in RNAcentral is "partial 16S ribosomal RNA". It matches the Rfam family "Bacterial small subunit ribosomal RNA", at positions 30 to 507 of the family's 1533-position model. The record is from RNAcentral.